Molecule: ribosomal RNA, 274 nt
Filed under: uncultured bacterium
Lineage: Bacteria
Description: partial 16S ribosomal RNA
Rfam family: Bacterial small subunit ribosomal RNA
Source: RNAcentral
UACGGGGGGAGCAAGCGUUGUUCGGAUUUACUGGGCGUAAAGGGCGCGUAGGCGGCCUCUGCAAGUCGACUGUGAAAUCUCCGGGCUUAACCCGGAACGGUCAGCCGAUACUGCAGGGCUAGAGUGCAGAAGGGGCAACUGGAAUUCUCGGUGUAGCGGUGAAAUGCGUAGAUAUCGAGAGGAACACCUGCGGCGAAGGCGGGUUGCUGGGCUGACACUGACGCUGAGGCGCGAAAGCUAGGGGAGCGAACGGGAUUAGAAACCCCCGUAGUCC